AAAUGACAUACCAUAAGCCCUAAAUCAGAAAGGUCUUUGCCAUGAAAAGCCUGGAUUAUUUACAGGCCUGUCUUAAUUCCACAGGAUCUUGGCUCUACCCAGUAUCCUGAGGAAUCUUCAUCUAGAACACCCCAGUAAACCAGAACCAACUCUACAUCUGGCAAGCAUCGUAUCCACAAUGGAAGAGAAACAGUGUUACACAGUGCCCCAGCUUCCAGGAUUUGGGGUGACUACAGUCCAGCUAGCUGUUGUCUGAGGCUCUUGCAUGCUGCCUGCCGACAAUCCUGUCUCUGAAGAACGACAUGACAAUGUAUGCUAUGACAUGUUAUGGGAGCCAGCUUGUGGAAAUGGAUAAAAAAGAGAAGGAGGAAGAGGACUUUUCCAGACUGAAUCUACCACCACUCAUAAUAUGGGUUCAUCUCAGUAUAAUGAUCACUUCUCUGUCUCCCUCCCCCAAUCUUUGUCUUCUCCCAGUUUCUUCUUCAAUAAACAUUGCUACUCU
This 502-nucleotide long non-coding RNA is filed under the name Vulpes vulpes (red fox). RNAcentral's name for it is "lncRNA (ENSVVUG00000016002.1)". Lineage: Eukaryota; Metazoa; Chordata; Mammalia; Carnivora; Canidae. The record is from RNAcentral.